Molecule: long non-coding RNA, 2208 nt
Filed under: Heterocephalus glaber (naked mole-rat)
Lineage: Eukaryota; Metazoa; Chordata; Mammalia; Rodentia; Bathyergidae
Description: lncRNA (ENSHGLG00100052170.1)
Source: RNAcentral
CCCCAGUCCAGCGACGGCUGCCUGACAGUCACUUGGCUGGAGAGCGUCAGCAGCGAUCAUGCUGUGCUGCUUUCCCAGGCCUCGAGGCCGCAGCACCAGGAGCCGUGCAGGGAAAGCACUUGGGCGCGAGUGAGAGGUUGGAUGGCUAAGUCCCCGUGCUUCAGGCCACUCACCAGGAACUACCUGGCCUUCAGGGGCAGCACAGGGGCGGGUCUCCCCAGACCCAGAGACCUGGGAAUCUGAGACGAGCGGGAGCCCAGGGCAGAUCUCCCUGGACCUGGACACCAGACUCUGGGGCCACCGAGUCCAGGACAGGUCCAGUCAGGCCUUGGCCACCACUGUGAGUCCCCGGUGUAACUCCCGCCCGGCUUCCUCACUUUGAGGAGGGUGGGGGACGAGGCCAUGAGGGAGGCUCCUCCUGGGCAGGGGCAGGUGUGGGAGGCUGUGAGCCCGGGGCCCUGGCCUGUGCCCCCAGGACAGGGCUGAGAGGAGGAGAAGGGCAGUGCCCAGUGAUGAGCUGCAGCCCGCAGGGCCUUCUCCUGUCCUCUGGGGUAGAAGCCUGAGACAGAACUGUUUGUGUUUUGGGAGCACAAGGUUACCCGGAGCAGAAACAGCACAAACUGGGGUCAGGCAGAGCCUUGUGCUUGCUGCCAGCUGCCGGGCACUGUCCCCACAGAGCUGCACACAGGACACUGUGUCACUUCCGUCCUGUAACAGCUUUAUUCUGCCGUGUCACCUCAGGGCAACUCCUGGCCAGGGCCCAUGUGGUACCCACAGGGGCUACACAACCUGCAAAGGUGGCAGUGAGCACAGCCGGGCAGCCUCUCAGGACCAGGAAGUGGGCCUGACUUUUUCUGAGCCGUUAACAGACACCAGGGACAGGCUGGCCUCGCAGGAGGCCUGGCCCCAGGCUGAGCCUCAGUUUCUCUCUCCACCACAGGACCUGAGGGUGGGUGGGCUCUUAAUGCCCCAGGCCAUGACCUCUCCUUGUUAAUGAGCCAUGAAUUGGUAGCAUUUCUGUGUGUCCCUUCUGAAAUUACCUUCUAACAUGCAUCGCUUUUCUGCCGGCCCCACUUGUGCCCCUUCUGGUACGAGCCAUGAUGGUGACUUGCAGAGUGGUCUGGACUUCGGCCUCCAGCCCUCCUGAUGGCCUGGGUGGGCCCCAGUUCCAUGUCUCCCCUCUGUUCCCCGAGGGAGCCCCUGGAACAGGACUUCCUGGACAGCUGCCCCAUCCAGGCAGACUUCCUCCUGGACCCCUCUGGGGCCUGCAUUCCCGCCCUGCAGGAAGGGAUGGUGCUAAGGUGAGCUCUGUGGUCGGCACCCAGGGGCACUUGGCCACUGUGGCCCCAAGCCUUUGGAAGGUAUGAGCCCUGCCUCAGCCUGCUCGCAACUCUGAGCAAUAGGGCGCUGAGAAAAUCGGGCUCUCAGCAUCACUGUGGGGCAGAACUGGGGUCUCCAGGGCAGUGCUGACCGGGGCCUGCUGGAUUCCCUUCCAUCCCUGGCCGGCUGUGCUUUGCCCCACUGAGCCCUGCACAGGGGAAGGCUGUCCGUUCCCUGUAAAGGAGACCACAGAGUGACUCAGCAGGCCUCUGGUCUUCCCAGAGCAGGAGUCUGUGGGGAUGCAAAGGGCCAAGGCCUACUGACAUCAGGGAAGAGCAGGUGGGGUCCCCAUUCCAUGGACGUAUGUGAAGACACACUGUGUGCAGACCUUUCCCAGGGCUCGGCUAUGAUCGCUAGUAGCCAGAGCAGAUGCAACCCCUGCCCUCUGGGGCUUCAGUGCUGUUUGGGGUCCUCAGUCACCCUGGACAGCUGAGCAAGCAUUCCUCGAACUGCAGUAGCUGGCACUUUCCCGGCCUCCCUAGAUGGGGACCCACAGCAGUACAAGAGGAGCCCAGGAGCGGCACAGACACCGGGCAGCACAGCGCUGCAGAGCUAAAGCCUGAGGAGAGGACCAGCUCCAGCCCCAGCUGAAGUCCCAUGUGUGGAGCCCGAGCCAGCUCCACCUGCAGCUUCCUGCCCAGCGGUGGGACCACAGCCAGAGUCCGUGGCAGCCCCUUCACCUGCUGCAGUGCUGGGGCACCUGGUGGUUGCACGGUGGUCGGUGUCACCUCCUGAGCUCCUCCUGGGGCCAGCUCCCGGGCCCCUCCCACUGUUCCCCUCACUUACGCUGGCUCUUGUUUUGGUAUUUACACUUGCCCUUAUUCCUUG